GGGGAAUAUUGGACAAUGGGGGAAACCCUGAUCCAGCAACGCCGCGUGGAGGAUGAAGGUCUUCGGAUUGUAAACUCCUGUUAGGGGGGACGGAGGGUCGCUGGUGAAUAUCCAGCGAACUUGACGGUACCCCCAGAGGAAGCCCCGGCUAACUCUGUGCCAGCAGCCGCGGUAAUACAGAGGGGGCAAGCGUUAUUCGGAAUUAUUGGGCGUAAAGGGCGCGUAGGCGGCCCUGUAAGUCUUGGGUGAAAUCCCUCAGCUCAACUGAGGAACUGCCUCGGAUACUGCAGGGCUUGAGGCCGGGAGAGGGUAGUGGAAUUCCCAGUGUAGCGGUGAAAUGCGUAGAUAUUGGGAGGAACACCGGUGGCGAAGGCGGCUACCUGGACCGGUUCUGACGCUGAUGCGCGAAAGCGUGGGGAGCAA
This 423-nucleotide ribosomal RNA is filed under the name uncultured bacterium. RNAcentral's name for it is "bacterial SSU rRNA". It matches the Rfam family "Bacterial small subunit ribosomal RNA", at positions 356 to 771 of the family's 1533-position model. The record is from RNAcentral.